UACAUGAGCAAAAUCUCAACUUUAUUAGAAGAGACGCAUUUAUUAGAUAAAAAGCCAGUUCAUGCUUUUACAGUAUGAAAAUUGGUGAUUUAUAAUAACUUAGCAAAUCGCAAAGUGAAAACAGGCGAUAAAUCAUUCAAGUUUCUGACCUAUCAGCUUUCGACGGUAUGGUAUUGGCUUACCGUGGCAGUGACGGUUAACGGGGGAUUAGGGUUCGAUUCCGGAGAGGGAGCCUGAGAAACGGCUACCACAUCUAAGGAAGGCAGCAGGCGCGCAAAUUACCCAAUUCUAACAGUUUGAGAGAGGUAGUAACAAGAAAUAACAAUACAAGGCAGUUAAAAUGCUUUGUAAUUGGAAUGAUAGAAAUUUAAACCCUUUUUAAAGUAUCAAUUGGAGGGCAAGUCUGGUGCCAGCAGCCGCGGUAAUUCCAGCUCCAAUAGCGUAUAUUAAAAUUGUUGCAGUUAAAAAGCUCGUAGUUGAAGUUCUGCUGAAAGUAACCGGUCUGCUUUUAAUAAAAGUGGUAUCUUGGUAUGUAUUUAGCAAUGAUGUCCUUUGAAGUGUUUUUUACUUUAUUGUAAUAAAGCAUAUUCAGGACUUUUACUUUGAGAAAAUUAGAGUGUUUCUAGCAGGCUAACGCUUUGAAUACUGCAGCAUG
RNAcentral lists this ribosomal RNA (655 nucleotides) under Hepatozoon canis. RNAcentral's name for it is "bacterial SSU rRNA". It matches the Rfam family "Eukaryotic small subunit ribosomal RNA", at positions 168 to 811 of the family's 1831-position model. The record is from RNAcentral. Lineage: Eukaryota; Apicomplexa; Hepatozoidae.